AUAGGGGAGCCGGAGGGAAACCGAGUCUUAAUUGGGCGUUAAGUUGCAGGGUAUAGACCCGAAACCCGGUGAUCUAGCCAUGGGCAGGUUGAAGGUUGGGUAACACUAACUGGAGGACCGAACCGACUAAUGUUGAAAAAUUAGCGGAUGACCUGUGGCUGGGGGUGAAAGGCCAAUCAAACCGGGAGAUAGCUGGUUCUCCCCGAAAGCUAUUUAGGUAGCGCCUCGUGAAUUCAUCUCCGGGGGUAGAGCACUGUUUCGGCUAGGGGGCCAUCCCGGCUUACCAACCCGAUGCAAACUGCGAAUACCGGAGAAUGUUAUCACGGGAGACACACGGCGGGUGCUAACGUCCGUCGUGAAGAGGGAAACAACCCAGACCGCCAGCUAAGGUCCCAAAGUCAUGGUUAAGUGGGAAACGAUGUGGGAAGGCCCAGACAGCCAGGAUGUUGGCUUAGAAGCAGCCAUCAUUUAAAGAAAGCGUAAUAGCUCACUGGUCGAGUCGGCCUGCGCGGAAGAUGUAACGGGGCUAAACCAUGCACCGAAGCUGCGGCAGCGAACGUAUCACCCAAGACAACUUUACGGAGUUGACGAUUGACGGAGCGAAGCGACGUCAAAGCGUUCAUUAAAGUCGAGUUGGCUUAGGGAUACGUUCGUUGGGUAGGGGAGCGUUCUGUAAGCCUGUGAAGGUGUGUCGUGAGGCAUGCUGGAGGUAUCAGAAGUGCGAAUGCUGACAUAAGUAACGAUAAAGCGGGUGAAAAGCCCGCUCGCCGGAAGACCAAGGGUUCCUGUCCAACGUUAAUCGGGGCAGGGUGAGUCGACCCCUAAGGCGAGGCCGAAAGGCGUAGUCGAUGGGAAACGGGUUAAUAUUCCCGUACUUGGUGUUACUGCGAAGGGGGGACGGAGAAGGCUAUGUUGGCCGGGCGACGGUUGUCCCGGUUUAAGCGUGUAGGUGUGUGUUCCAGGUAAAUCCGGUUCACUUUAACACUGAGGCGUGACGACGAGGCACUACGGUGCUGAAGCAACAAAUGCCCUGCUUCCAGGAAAAGCCUCUAAGCAUCAGGUAACAUCAAAUCGUACCCCAAACCGACACAGGUGGUCAGGUAGAGAAUACCAAGGCGCUUGAGAGAACUCGGGUGAAGGAACUAGGCAAAAUGGUGCCGUAACUUCGGGAGAAGGCACGCUGACACGUAGGUGAAGUGAUUUACUCAUGGAGCUGAAGUCAGUCGAAGAUACCAGCUGGCUGCAACUGUUUAUUAAAAACACAGCACUGUGCAAACACGAAAGUGGACGUAUACGGUGUGACGCCUGCCCGGUGCCGGAAGGUUAAUUGAUGGGGUCAGCGUAAGCGAAGCUCCUGAUCGAAGCCCCGGUAAACGGCGGCCGUAACUAUAACGGUCCUAAGGUAGCGAAAUUCCUUGUCGGGUAAGUUCCGACCUGCACGAAUGGCGUAAUGAUGGCCAGGCUGUCUCCACCCGAGACUCAGUGAAAUUGAACUCGCUGUGAAGAUGCAGUGUACCCGCGGCAAGACGGAAAGACCCCGUGAACCUUUACUAUAGCUUGACACUGAACAUUGAGCCUUGAUGUGUAGGAUAGGUGGGAGGCUUUGAAGUGUGGACGCCAGUCUGCAUGGAGCCGACCUUGAAAUACCACCCUUUAAUGUUUGAUGUUCUAACGUGGACCCGUAAUCCGGGUUGCGGACAGUGUCUGGUGGGUAGUUUGACUGGGGCGGUCUCCUCCUAAAGAGUAACGGAGGAGCACGAAGGUUGGCUAAUCCUGGUCGGACAUCAGGAGGUUAGUGCAAUGGCAUAAGCCAGCUUGACUGCGAGCGUGACGGCGCGAGCAGGUGCGAAAGCAGGUCAUAGUGAUCCGGUGGUUCUGAAUGGAAGGGCCAUCGCUCAACGGAUAAAAGGUACUCCGGGGAUAACAGGCUGAUACCGCCCAAGAGUUCAUAUCGACGGCGGUGUUUGGCACCUCGAUGUCGGCUCAUCACAUCCUGGGGCUGAAGUAGGUCCCAAGGGUAUGGCUGUUCGCCAUUUAAAGUGGUACGCGAGCUGGGUUUAGAACGUCGUGAGACAGUUCGGUCCCUAUCUGCCGUGGGCGCUGGAGAACUGAGGGGGGCUGCUCCUAGUACGAGAGGACCGGAGUGGACGCAUCACUGGUGUUCGGGUUGUCAUGCCAAUGGCACUGCCCGGUAGCUAAAUGCGGAAGAGAUAAGUGCUGAAAGCAUCUAAGCACGAAACUUGCCCCGAGAUGAGUUCUCCCUGAGACUUAGAGUCUCCUGAAGGAACGUUGAAGACGACGACGUUGAUAGGCCGGGUGUGUAAGCGCAGCGAUGCGUUGAGCUAACCGGUACUAAUGAACCGUGAGGCUUAACCUUACAACGCCGAAG
This 2389-nucleotide ribosomal RNA is filed under the name Salmonella enterica subsp. enterica serovar Typhimurium. Its description in RNAcentral is "bacterial LSU rRNA". It matches the Rfam family "Bacterial large subunit ribosomal RNA", at positions 657 to 2925 of the family's 2925-position model. The record is from RNAcentral. Lineage: Bacteria; Pseudomonadati; Pseudomonadota; Gammaproteobacteria; Enterobacterales; Enterobacteriaceae.